Molecule: transfer RNA, 66 nt
Filed under: uncultured Ruminococcus sp.
Lineage: Bacteria; Bacillati; Bacillota; Clostridia; Eubacteriales; Oscillospiraceae
Also listed under: 1 other name
Rfam family: tRNA
About the family: Transfer RNA (tRNA) molecules are approximately 80 nucleotides in length. Their secondary structure includes four short double-helical elements and three loops (D, anti-codon, and T loops). Further hydrogen bonds mediate the characteristic L-shaped molecular structure. tRNAs have two regions of fundamental functional importance: the anti-codon, which is responsible for specific mRNA codon recognition, and the 3' end, to which the tRNAs corresponding amino acid is attached (by aminoacyl-tRNA synthetases). tRNAs cope with the degeneracy of the genetic code in two manners: having more than one tRNA (with a specific anti-codon) for a particular amino acid; and 'wobble' base-pairing, i.e. permitting non-standard base-pairing at the 3rd anti-codon position.
Source: RNAcentral
UCUGUAGCUCAGUUGGUAGAGCAGAGGACUGAAAAUCCUCGUGUCGAUGGUUCGAUUCCGUCCGGA